Molecule: ribosomal RNA, 499 nt
Filed under: uncultured bacterium
Lineage: Bacteria
Description: partial 16S ribosomal RNA
Rfam family: Bacterial small subunit ribosomal RNA
Source: RNAcentral
GACGAACGCUGGCGGCGUGCUUAACACAUGCAAGUCGAACGGGCCCGCUCUCUUUUUUGGGGGUGGGUUGAGUGGCGAACGGGUGAGUAUCACGUGAGUAACCUGCCCCCUGCUCCUGGAUAACUGCUUGAAAGGGCGGCUAAUACGGGGUGUGCCGGCUGGUCCGCAUGGGCCUGGUCGGGAUAGUUUCAUCUUCGGGUGUUUCGGUGGGGGAUGGGCUCGCGGCCUAUCAGCUUGUUGGUGGGGUGAUGGCCCACCAAGGCGGUGACGGGUAGCCGGCCGGAGAGGGUGGGCGGCCACACGGGGACUGAGACACGGCCCAGAGUCCUGCGGGAGGCAGCAGUGGGGGGUAUUGCACAAUGGGCGGAAGCCUGAUGCAGCGACGUCGCGUGAGGGAUGGAGGCCUUCGGGUUGUGAACCUCUUUCUCCGGUGGUGAAGGCCCUGUCCGUUGCGGCGGGGUUGACGGUAGCCGGGUAUGAAGCGCCGGCUAACUACGUG